AGUGAACGCUGGCGGCAGGCCUAAUACAUGCAAGUCGAACGGCAGCACAGCAGAGCUUGCUCUGUGGGUGGCGAGUGGCGGACGGGUGAGGAAUACAUGGGAAUCUGCCCAGUCGUGGGGGAUAACGUAGGGAAACUUACGCUAAUACCGCAUGCGCCCUUCGGGGAAAGCCGGGGACCUUCGGGCCUGGCGCGAUUGGAUGAGCCCAUGUCGGAUUAGCUAGUUGGCGGGGUAAUGGCCCACCAAGGCGACGAUCCGUAGCUGGUCUGAGAGGAUGAUCAGCCACACUGGAACUGAGACACGGUCCAGACUCUUACGGGAGGCAGCAGUAGGGAAUAUUGGACAAUGGGCGCAAGCCUGAUCCAGCCAUGCCGCGUGAGUGAAGAAGGCCCUCGGGGUUGUAAAGCUCUUUUUGUCCCGGAAAGAAAAGACGCCGGGUUAAUACCCUGGUGUCCUGACGGUACCGGAAGAAUAAGCACCGGCUAACUCGUGCCAGCAGCCGCGGU
Molecule: ribosomal RNA, 506 nt
Filed under: uncultured bacterium
Lineage: Bacteria
Description: bacterial SSU rRNA
Rfam family: Bacterial small subunit ribosomal RNA
Source: RNAcentral